Molecule: long non-coding RNA, 300 nt
Filed under: Lathyrus oleraceus (garden pea)
Lineage: Eukaryota; Viridiplantae; Streptophyta; Magnoliopsida; Fabales; Fabaceae
Description: Pisum sativum (pea) long non-coding RNA (PSAT_LNC017285)
Source: RNAcentral
AAAAUCAUUAUGCAGGUUGUUUCUUAAACCCAUUGAACAUAGUGAUCGGACGUCAUCUCCCAAUUUUGAAUUCCCUGUAUUCGAAGCGGAAGAAGAUGAUGUUGAAGGGAUUCCUGACGAGAUUUCCCGACUUCUUGAGCAAGAAAAGAAGAUCACACUCAGCUGCAUCUUGAGAAUCAGCAGAACAGCCAACUGGGGCAUUUAUCAAAAAAAAAAAAAAAAGAAAAAAAGAAGAAAGAGGAGGGUGCGAAAAAAAAAUCAAAAGAAAUCAAAAGAAAUCAAAAGAAAUCAAAAGAAAUC